This is a long non-coding RNA of Pseudoliparis swirei, 286 nucleotides long. RefSeq lists it as uncharacterized. The transcript has 3 exons. NCBI's taxonomy places the organism in Eukaryota, Metazoa, Chordata, Actinopteri, Perciformes, Liparidae. The record is from RefSeq and is a predicted model, not a curated record.
CUUUCAAGACACCUAUGAGAUCUGCCUGUGUUAAACUAUUGACACAUCCUGUUGUAUACAGUCAGGACAUCGGUGCACAGCUAUCAGAGGCUGUAAAGAUCCCUUUGAGACAUGUGGGUGGUAAAAUAUUGACACAUCCUGUAGCAUACCGUCAGGACAUUGGUGCACAGCUAUCAGAUAUGUGUUUUCUCAGAGGAUUUUCAGUGCAGACCAGUCCUAGCAUCAGCCAUCCCCUCAUCAGAUGAUGAACCCCUGAGCUGUGCUCAGUUGUAUACACCCUCAUCAC